Molecule: ribosomal RNA, 509 nt
Filed under: uncultured bacterium
Lineage: Bacteria
Description: bacterial SSU rRNA
Rfam family: Bacterial small subunit ribosomal RNA
Source: RNAcentral
GAUCAUGGCUCAGGAUGAACGCUAGCUACAGGCUUAACACAUGCAAGUCGAGGGGUAGCAGGGUAGCAAUACCGCUGACGACCGGCGCACGGGUGAGUAACACGUAUCCAACCUUCCCAUAACUCAGGGAUAGCCUUUCGAAAGAAAGAUUAAUACCUGAUAGUACUUUUUCAAGGCAUCUUAGAAAAAGUUAAAGAUUUAUUGGUUAUGGAUGGGGAUGCGUUCCAUUAGAUAGUUGGUGAGGUAACGGCUCACCAAGUCUUCGAUGGAUAGGGGUUCUGAGAGGAAGGUCCCCCACAUUGGUACUGAGACACGGACCAAACUCCUACGGGAGGCAGCAGCGAGGAAUAUUGGUCAAUGGGCGAGAGCCUGAACCAGCCAAGUAGCGUGAAGGAUUAGAAGGUCCUAUGGAUUGUAAACUUCUUUUAUAGUAGAAUAAAGUGAGCCACGUGUGGUUUUUUGUAUGUAUACUAUGAAUAAGGAUCGGCUAACUCCGUGCCAGCAGCUGC